RNAcentral lists this ribosomal RNA (377 nucleotides) under uncultured eukaryote. RNAcentral describes it as "partial 18S ribosomal RNA". It matches the Rfam family "Eukaryotic small subunit ribosomal RNA", at positions 592 to 976 of the family's 1831-position model. The record is from RNAcentral.
CAAUAUCGUAUAUUUAAGUUGCUGCAGUUAAAAAGCUCGUAGUUGGAUUUCGGGUGGGAACGGCCGGUCCGCCGUUUCGGUGUGCACUUGCUACGCCCACCUUGCUGCCGGGGACGUGCUCUUGAGUUCACGCUCGGGACACGGAGUCGGCGAGGUUACUUUGAGUAAAUUAGAGUGUUCAAAGCAGGCCUACGCUCUGAAUACAUUAGCAUGGAAUAACACGAUAGGACUCUGGCCUAUCUUGUUGGUCUGUAGGACCGGAGUAAUGAUUAAGAGGGACAGUCGGGGGCAUUCGUAUUUCAUUGUCAGAGGUGAAAUUCUUGGAUUUAUGAAAGACGAACUACUGCGAAAGCAUUUGCCAAGGAUGUUUUCAUUAA